AUGGUCUUUGCUCUGGAACCGGAGAAUGCAAAACCCAUGAACCCUGGUGGGGCAUGGAAGGGUGGGUGGUGCGUGGGCAAGGAGACCGGAGAUCCCUGCUCACAGGUGCCUACCUGCUCUCCCUUCCUGCCAACAGCGUCCUACCAGCAAGGGGUCCUGUCUGCCACCAUCCUCUAUGAGAUCCUGCUGGGGAAGGCCACCCUCUAUGCUGUGCUGGUCAGCGCCCUGGUGCUGAUGGCCAUGGUUAAGAAAAAGGAUUCCUGAGACCAGCUCCAAAAGUGCAUCCUGAGUCAUUCUUCAUCCUCUCCUUAGAUGUUCCUUAACAUAUUUCCAGUCUGUGUUCCUCAAGAGUUUCUCUCUCUCCACCUUCUUUUAUCUCCUUCCUUCUUGGAUAUCUGUCCCUUCUCUCAGCUUCCCUGCAGACUGAGCUCCACCCCACUGAAUCUUAAAUUGAUUAAAGUAAUAAAAGUGUCAUGGUGGGCUUGACUGUG
This is a non-coding RNA of Aethalodelphis obliquidens (Pacific white-sided dolphin), 491 nucleotides long. The record is from the annotation of a RefSeq genome assembly. Lineage: Eukaryota; Metazoa; Chordata; Mammalia; Artiodactyla; Delphinidae.